GAUGAACGCUGGCGGCGUGCCUAAUACAUGCAAGUCGAGCGAACAGACGAGGAGCUUGCUCCUCUGACGUUAGCGGCGGACGGGUGAGUAACACGUGGAUAACCUACCUAUAAGACUGGGAUAACUUCGGGAAACCGGAGCUAAUACCGGAUAAUAUAUUGAACCGCAUGGUUCAAUAGUGAAAGACGGUUUUGCUGUCACUUUUAGAUGGAUCCGCGCCGCAUUAGCUAGUUGGUAAGGUAACGGCUUACCAAGGCGACGAUGCGUAGCUGACCUGAGAGGGUGAUCGGCCACACUGGAACUGAGACACGGUCCAGACUCCUACGGGAGGCAGCAGUAGGGAAUCUUCCGCAAUGGGCGAAAGCUUGACGGAGCAACACCGCGUGAGUGAUGAAGGUCUUCGGAUCGUAAAACUCUGUUAUUGGGAAAGAACAAAUGUGUAAGUAACUAUGCACGUCUUGACGGUACCUAAUCAGAAAGCCACGGCUAACUACGUG
This 497-nucleotide ribosomal RNA is filed under the name uncultured bacterium. Its description in RNAcentral is "partial 16S ribosomal RNA". It matches the Rfam family "Bacterial small subunit ribosomal RNA", at positions 28 to 507 of the family's 1533-position model. The record is from RNAcentral.